Molecule: non-coding RNA, 88 nt
Organism: Podarcis lilfordi (Lilford's wall lizard)
Lineage: Eukaryota; Metazoa; Chordata; Lepidosauria; Squamata; Lacertidae
Source: the annotation of a GenBank genome assembly
UCAGCAUCAUUCUGUAUAAUGGGAGUGGCUCAAGGCCCAACUACUGUGGGGUACUGAGCCGCUCCCAUUAUACAGAAUGAUGCCGACA